UACGAAGGGGGCUAGCGUUGUUCGGAUUUACUGGGCGUAAAGCGCACGUAGGCGGAUCGUUAAGUCAGGGGUGAAAUCCUGGAGCUCAACUCCAGAACUGCCUUUGAUACUGGCGAUCUCGAGUCCGGAAGAGGUGAGUGGAACUGCGAGUGUAGAGGUGAAAUUCGUAGAUAUUCGCAAGAACACCAGUGGCGAAGGCGGCUCACUGGCCCGGUACUGACGCUGAGGUGCGAAAGCGUGGG
This 242-nucleotide ribosomal RNA is filed under the name uncultured bacterium. RNAcentral's name for it is "partial 16S ribosomal RNA". It matches the Rfam family "Bacterial small subunit ribosomal RNA", at positions 524 to 765 of the family's 1533-position model. The record is from RNAcentral.